RNAcentral lists this ribosomal RNA (227 nucleotides) under Lacticaseibacillus rhamnosus. RNAcentral describes it as "partial 23S ribosomal RNA". It matches the Rfam family "Bacterial large subunit ribosomal RNA", at positions 774 to 999 of the family's 2925-position model. The record is from RNAcentral. Lineage: Bacteria; Bacillati; Bacillota; Bacilli; Lactobacillales; Lactobacillaceae.
CCGAACCCAUGUAUGUUGAAAAAUGCUGGGAUGAGUUGUGGGUAGCGGUGAAAUUCCAAACGAACUUGGAGAUAGCUGGUUCUCUCCGAAAUAGCUUUAGGGUUAGCCUCGGAAGAUGGAUCAUGGAGGUAGAGCACUGUUUGAACUAGGGGCCCGUCAAGGGUUACUGAAUUCAGAUAAACUCCGAAUACCAUUGAUCUUACUCCGGGAGUCAGACAGUGAGCGAU